Xiphophorus couchianus (Monterrey platyfish) is the source of this 3113-nucleotide long non-coding RNA. RefSeq lists it as uncharacterized. The transcript is spliced from 2 exons. The record is from RefSeq and is a predicted model, not a curated record. Lineage: Eukaryota; Metazoa; Chordata; Actinopteri; Cyprinodontiformes; Poeciliidae.
CGUAGAGAACAAAUGGAAAUGAGAAGAGCUGAUAAUCUGAAACCUUUCAGUAAAAAUUGUUGUGUCAGGCAGCAAUUCUCGUUUAAAGGGAGGUUCUGGCGUUAAUCCAGGCGCAGAUUUUCUAUAAAGCCGCCAUGGGACACCACCUUACUCAUAAACCAGCCCGGUUCGCUUCGGCUCUGAGGCGCGAUUGUUAAACUUCCAGCAUGAGCAGCGACAGCCUGGCACCGCUUCACGAGCCGCAGCUCCCCUUUGAUGUGCCGGGUUUCACGAGGCAAGGAAAGCCUCACGAGGAGGUCGGGCUCUUCUCCAUCUUCACCGCCUCCUCUUCCUCCGACCCCGCCGGCAUUUUGCUUCUUUCUUUCUUUUUUGUUUCUUCCAGUGUGUAUUUUGGCCAAAGGCUACGUGUUGUGUGCUCACAGUGUUGGGAAUGUGACUACCUGUAAAUGAUUUACCGGAGGGAACAGAGGGUCACUUCAGAGAGCGGGCCUGUAUGCGGCGAGGCGCACGUGACUCUGACUCCACAUGUUGCGCGGGGAGGAAAAAGCUCUGCUAACAUGUAAUUAGCCUGUUACUAUUUUGAUGCUGCCGUCGCCGUGAAGGAGCAACAGGGUUGUUGGUUGUUCGCUCCAUGCCAGGAAUCCGCGAAGCUUUCAAUUUUAAACUACAAACUUUUCUCUGCGUUAUUGAAUAACUGGCUUUUGAAUUGAAAAAGAAGCCCACUCCUUUCUUCUUCUUCUUCUUCUUUUAAAAAACAGAUGUUUUUAUCUUUGAGCCAUGAAAUGAGCACUAAGAGAAGCGAGAUUAUAGCUUUUGCAGGACCUUGGCCCGCGUUUGUACAGCAAGUGAAAUGCAAGACUGUCCUCUUUAGGGGUUGCAGAGAGAUUUCGAUAUUAAAAGCUCACUUUCCUCUUCUGUAAUCUCGCACCAGAGCCAAAUGGAUAGCUGAUGCAAACUCCCGUCUGCCUCACUUCCUCUGCUGCUUCAAUUCCCACCAUCUCUGACUGGAGAUACUGGAAAAAAAACAAAACUUGCAAAACUACAAUGACCCCCGACCUAGAUAUCUAGAUAGAAGCAAAACAAAUUCUCAACAGCACAAACUUAAGAUGUUUUUUACAGGAAAGCUACUUAACUGAAUAAGCGUUUUGUACUGGUUUAGGUCAAUAGAAGAUGAAUAUUGCAACUGCUUUAAUUUUUAUAAAGCAGUCCCAACAGGACAGAUGGCUAGAUGAGCUUUAUUGGCUUUCAGUUCCAUUAAGUAUUAACAUUAGUGGUAUAUUUAAUCAAUAAUUCAGUGAAGCUAAAAGUAUGUUGAUACUUUAAAUGUAAUGGUGGCGGCUAAUGCGCUGGUCUAACAAUUUAAACAUUUUGUAUUUCCAGCACACAUUUCUGUCAAACUCCUGGUCCACCGAUAAAAAAGUAGCACAAUAUAAAUUCAGAGCAGAUUUAAACUGCAAUAUUGAGCUACGUAUUUUGGUCGUAAGCUAACUUAAAAGUCAAACAAAUUAGUUAUUUUAAUUAAUUUAAGUUUCAAGAAAAAAACAGCAAUAAAACUAACUGGGGGACUUCUUGUAUUUGGGUUAAACUAAUGCAGUGGCUAAGCUAAAGUCACUGCUUGUUCAUGGGGACAUUUCAUUAAACCGCCACCACUGCUAAUAGCAGGCUUUUAAUUAGCAUCAUGGGAAGCCAGGGACUCAUCAAGUGUAGUAUUUGAAGUAUGGGUACAGUACAGUCACGUCUUGAACUCUGUAGGCCUCUGCUUUAUUUUCUAAAAUGUUCAAAUUCAAAAGAACUGACUCUAACCUGCUGGGUAAAUCAGUGAUUAAGUAAGAUGUACGUCUAAGAAUCAGAGGUCAAAGUUUUAUUACUGUUAUCAGUUUCUCUAUGUUUCCUUUUGUUUAAAAUCAGCUUGGAUCGGAUUUUAGAUACGGAGGUCUGCCAUAUUUCUAAGAGGUUUAAAGGAACGCACCUCCUGCUCGUUUUCCAUGUCGUAGAACUAAACAAGGACAGGCAGCGUUUAGUUUUUGUAAUGCGUAACUUUCAAACCAACUCCCAGUUUUAAAAUUCCAUUUUAAUGUUCCCUCUUAUGUGUUCUGUCAUAUUUAUUUUCAAAGUAAUUUUCUCUCCAUUUCUUUAUUUUCUUGUAAAGCACACUCCGUGCCAUGCAAAUAAAAUUGCAUAUUGGAGGCCUUUUCUAAGCUAGUGGUUUACUUUUACAAUAACACUACCUUUACUUUGGUGAUAAAAUGUCAACUAGUGUUUCCAUAACACAAUGAAGCAAUUAAAAUACAUUGUGGAGCACACAUGGAAAUAAGUAAAACAACUGAUAUACGGUAUUUUAUUUUACAUAAGAAAUUGACAAGCACUCAUCAAUCAACAUAAUAAAACAUUUGUGCCAUCAGUCAAGACUCCAGAUGGCUCCUUAAAAUAAAUACUUUUAAGAGAAAACAAUAUGGACAGAACAGGCUCAAACCACACAGACAAACAAAUUAUCCAAAUGUUCAAAAGACGAAUGGGUCCGAAAACUCCCAAAGUCAACCCCGACUCUCCAACAUAAAGAGCUUGUAUAAAACAGUUAAGCGUUUUGAAAAAUACAGAAUCUUACAAAAAAGGUUUUUUUUGUCUUUUUUUUUUUUUAAAUUUCCUUGCCUUUUUGUGUCACUGUAAAAUAUCAGCUGGUAUUCAUGACAAGAAAUUAAGAAUUCCCCCCAUGUAUAAUAAUAAAAAGACAGAAUGUGCUUCUGCAUUUUUUUUUACAUUAGUAUUCACAUAUAUCAUAAGUAAACUGCAAAAGUCUUCUCAGUUCCUUAUGGUGCUUUGACGAAAACACGCGUACAGCACGGGGCUGCUCGUUGUCACAUUGUGUGUUGAGCUAACAGUCCCCCCCAUUACACCGAGCCUUUGAACGGCUUUCCAUUCCCCACGUGUGCUAAACAACACACUAAUGUCAAAUAUUCAUUGUCCUUAUAGGUUAUGCCACCAAGGUUCACAUUUUAUAAAAACAAAAUCAGAAAGUUUUUUUUUUGACAGGUUCUUGUCAACUGAAAAGGGUUAAAGAAAAAUAACAAAAGUCAUCAACAAGUGAGGAUUUCAAGAAUACAGCUUACAUUAAA